CCUACGGGAGGCAGCAGUGGGGAAUAUUGCACAAUGGGGGAAACCCUGAUGCAGCGACGCCGCGUGAGUGAAGAAGUAAUUCGUUAUUUAAAGCUCUAUCAGCAUGGAAGAAAAUGACGGUACCUGAUUAAGAAUCCCCGGCUAACUACGUGCCAGCAGCCGCGGUAAUACGUAGGGGGCAAGCGUUAUCCGGAUUUACUGGGGGUAAACGGAGCGUAGACGGCAGUGCAAGUCUGGAGUGAAAGGCGGGGGCUCAACCCCAGGACUGCUCUGGAAACGGUAAGGCUGGAGUGCAGGAGAGGUAAGUGGAAUUCGUAGUGUAGCGGUGAAAUGCGUAGAUAUUAGGAGGAACACCAGUGGCGAAGGCGGCUUACUGGACUGUAACUGACGCUGAGGCUCGAAAGCGUGGGGAGCAAACAGGAUUAGAUACCCGGGUAGUC
This 440-nucleotide ribosomal RNA is filed under the name uncultured bacterium. RNAcentral describes it as "partial 16S ribosomal RNA". It matches the Rfam family "Bacterial small subunit ribosomal RNA", at positions 338 to 795 of the family's 1533-position model. The record is from RNAcentral.